ACUGAGUUAGCGACGUAUGAAGAACGGGACCCAGGGGCCCGUUGCACAAAAGUCGAAUUAAGAAAGCCAGGAUAACAGAACAGUCGCGGCUUGACCUAGUUUAAUCAGUGCAUCCUGCCUUAAUCUGUUGCACGUUUGCUGAGCCAGGAUGAGAACGCGCGGAUAUGUCAAGCCAGGUGUAUAUUGUUUGGAUAAAUGCACGUUCACUGCAUUCUUAAAAGAUCACAAAAUCGAUCACAGAAUCAAUGAUGCAAAAAUGGACAAAACCCGUGCGGCAUACUUUUCGCCUAAUGAGCAACAGCUUCUUAUGGAAACGUAUGAAGAAGUGAAACAUAUUAUAUGUAAAAAAGGCAAUACAGCUGCUGUAAUAAAGCAAAGAGAGAAUGCCUGGCAAACAAUAGUGGACCGAUUGAAUGCGUAAGUAGUCCAAAUAACCAGUGCUCCACUGAAACCCUCACAAUUACAAUCCAAGGAGUUUCUUGUCAUUUUCAAAAAUAAUUGUAUACUUUGCUUUAAAUGUGACCAGUGGACUUGCAUUUAACAUGAAGAAUAAUUGCAAACACUUACCCACUAUGUGCAUCUAUUUGAUCUAUUUAGUUUCUUUUAUGUCUAUUAUCUGUUUAAUCUUUGUACUCUUAUCUAUUUGUAUGUAGGUUUUGUUUGUAAUUGAUUUGAUGUAACCUAUAAUCAGAUAAUUUGCUCUAUUUUUACCCAUCAAAUCUAUUUUAUCAUUUGUAUCUAUCUAUUCCUCUUAAAGAACAAACAUGUCUGGCCAAAAAAGGACUUGGCAGCAAGUCAAGAUUAAAUACAAGAAUAUUUUGCAGGCUGGUAAGUGACUUGUUUGCGGAGAACAUAGGUGACAUGUUUUAAGACAUUUUACUGUCUGUGCUGAUUUUAGCAAUAAAAAAAAGUCAUAUAUCUGGUACGGGGGUGGCUCUCCAACCCAAGACUUCACCACAGCAGAGGAGCUGGCCCUGGACUUAAAUAAAGGGAAGCCAGUGAUUGAAGGGAUCCAGGGAGGGACAGCCACUGCCUCUGGCCCAGCAAGGGAUACUGGCCUCCUCAUACAAGUGGCUGGUAACACCCUUACACUUUUGGAGCCACCAGACUAUAAUUCAUCGAGGGAAGCCACAUCUACAGCAGUGGAGUGCACUUCUGCUGAUGAUGAGACCGUGUCGCUGGACUCCAGAAGGCUCGAGGAUCCUGACAUUGGGCAGCCUGGCAACAUAGUGAGUAUUGCCUACAGUAAAUUUACAUUAUGCAAAAAUUCUGCAGUGCUAACUAAAAGGUGUUCACAGAAUUCACAAACUGUCAGAUAUCUCUACACAACGCAUCUUAAGAGACAUAUCAAGCUGACAGAAGUCAAGAUUGAUGUGAACAAAAGAAAGCUGCAGGACAUGGACCUUGAGAUGAAAAUUUAAUUCAAGACACUGAGGAAACUAGAACUGGAAAUCCAGAAACUAGAAGGAGAAGUAAGUGACUUCAGUUCAUACUGUAACCAUGACUGUAACACAAUGUAUUAAUCAUCAUAAUUUUUUUCUCUCAAAAGCUCCAAGCUGACAAGUGAUAACUGUAAAAUAAUAAAAGAAAAAUAUUCCAAAACCA
This is a long non-coding RNA of Cyprinus carpio (common carp), 1605 nucleotides long. The record is from Ensembl. Lineage: Eukaryota; Metazoa; Chordata; Actinopteri; Cypriniformes; Cyprinidae.